RNAcentral lists this long non-coding RNA (1247 nucleotides) under Homo sapiens (human). RNAcentral's name for it is "novel transcript". The record is from RNAcentral. Lineage: Eukaryota; Metazoa; Chordata; Mammalia; Primates; Hominidae.
UACAGGCGUGAGCCACCGCGCCCAGCCUACCUCAUUCUUUAAAGGGCUAUAAACUAUUCAAUCACGCUGAUGAACUAGCAUUUAUUUGCAUAUUUUCUCAGUGUUGGACCUCUAGAGUUAGUUUCCAUUUAUAUGUUGUGAGAAACCAUGUUGUAUUGAACUUAGACAUUUGGCUAGAAGUUUUAUAGAAUGUUUUCCUUGAAUUAGGGUUCUAGGCACUUCCUAUAUGCUAGGCACCAGUGUAAACACUUUACAAAUAUCAACUUUUAAAAUUCCCAUGACAACCCCAUGAGUUAUAGAUACUAUUAUUAUCUCAGUUUUGCAGAUGAUAAACUUAGGCUCAGAGAGGUUAAGCAACUUGUUUGAGAUCUCAUGGUUCUAAUUGGUAGAGCCAGGAUUGGAAUCCAGGAUCUCUGAAUCCAGAGUCUGUCCUUAACUCAUAUGCAUUCUGCUUCCUCAUAGGAUAGGUAUAUUUGGAAUCUUGAUAGAUACUGCCAAGUUGUCCCUGAAAAAGGUUCUAUCAAUUUAUAUUUCCACAAACUGUAUUUGAGUGUUCACCCAUUUUCCUAUUUCAUUACCAAACCCUAUGUUCUCACUUUUAAAUUUUUUUGCCAAUUUGUGGUUGGAAAAAUAGUAUCAAAUUAUUGUUUUAACUUACAAUUAAUGCACCAUUAACAUUUAUAAUACUUAGCUUUUAUUAGACCUGUACUACAAUAAAAUACAUAAAAGAAUUCUUCAUCAUUUCCAGAUUAUCAUCCCAGAGCCCUCCCUGAAGCCCACACACAGCUUCUUCAGGAAAUGCUGACAGCAUGGUAUACACAUGGCUUCCAUGUUUGUCAUGGUUCCAAAGUUUGCUUUUGAAAGAGUUUAAUUUCUUUCUUUCUUUCUUUCUUUCUUUCCUUUAUUGGCUAAACUCCCCCCACAGGACCUGAGUGAGCAGAAGGCUUUUCAGAAUUACAGCCUGAACUAUUUCUUGAGCAAUUUGGGAACUCAUUUCUAAAGCAGUCCUCAGAUUCACACAACGUAGUUUGUGACGGAGUAUGCCCAGAGCAGUGUGGAAGAUGAUCAAAGUAUGACAUUUCUUCUACCCCAGAGGCUGGCAUUUCUGCAGGCACAAAUGAGCUUGGUUUUCAAGCACUGCUCUUUGAACACAAGGAAUUCCUUUAAUGAUCACGCCGGACUAUAUAGACUUUGGAAUCAGACUCUUUGAAUUCCAGCUCUGCCAUUUACCAACUUUGACACUUUGG